CAGCCGCCGCGGUAAUACAGAGGGUGCGAGCGUUAAUCGGAUUUACUGGGCGUAAAGCGUGCGUAGGCGGCUUUUUAAGUCGGAUGUGAAAUCCCUGAGCUUAACUUAGGAAUUGCAUUCGAUACUGGGAAGCUAGAGUAUGGGAGAGGAUGGUAGAAUUCCAGGUGUAGCGGUGAAAUGCGUAGAGAUCUGGAGGAAUACCGAUGGCGAAGGCAGCCAUCUGGCCUAAUACUGACGCUGAGGUACGAAAGCAUGGGGAGCAAACAGGAUUAGAUACCCCCGUAGUCCCUGUCUCUUAUAU
This 301-nucleotide ribosomal RNA is filed under the name uncultured bacterium. RNAcentral describes it as "partial 16S ribosomal RNA". It matches the Rfam family "Bacterial small subunit ribosomal RNA", at positions 509 to 809 of the family's 1533-position model. The record is from RNAcentral.